CCGCCGACGCUGUUAAGAGAGAAGGAGGCUGCCAUUGUCGGUUCGGCCUCCUGCCGGCGUCCUUUCGGCGAUUCAACACCGGAUUUGGACUCCCCACACCUGAAAACUCUGGAAACAACCUUCCCCCGUCGUGAAUCCCCCGCUGGCAGCUUCAGGAAGCUUCACCGAAGCAGCACCCUUUCGGCCCCUAUCCGACCACUUUCCGGCUGAAACUUUUGCAUUUUCAGACUUCCCGC
This 236-nucleotide long non-coding RNA is filed under the name Ricinus communis (castor bean). RNAcentral's name for it is "long non-coding RNA (RCOM_LNC001849)". Lineage: Eukaryota; Viridiplantae; Streptophyta; Magnoliopsida; Malpighiales; Euphorbiaceae. The record is from RNAcentral.